GACGAACGCUGGCGGCGUGCUUAACACAUGCAAGUCGAACGGUGAAGCGAGUGCUUUCACUCGUGGAUCAGUGGCGAACGGGUGAGUAACACGUGAGUAACCUGCCCUUCACUCUGGGAUAAGCACUGGAAACGGUGUCUAAUACUGGAUACGACCAACCCUUGCAUGGUGUGUUGUGGGAAAUAUUUAUCGGUGGUGGAUGGACUCGCGGCCUAUCAGCUUGUUGGCGGGGUAAUGGCCCACCAAGGCGACGACGGGUAGCCGGCCUGAGAGGGUGACCGGCCACACUGGGACUGAGAUACGGCCCAGACUCCUACGGGAGGCAGCAGUGGGGAAUAUUGCACAAUGGGCGAAAGCCUGAUGCAGCGACGCCGCGUGAGGGAUGACGGCCUUCGGGUUGUAAACCUCUUUCAGCAGGGAAGAAGCGAAAGUGACGGUAACUGGAGAAGAAGCACCGGCUAACUACGUG
This 469-nucleotide ribosomal RNA is filed under the name uncultured bacterium. Its description in RNAcentral is "partial 16S ribosomal RNA". It matches the Rfam family "Bacterial small subunit ribosomal RNA", at positions 28 to 507 of the family's 1533-position model. The record is from RNAcentral.